ACGAACCGUACAAACGUUAUUCGGAAUCACUGGGCUUAAAGGGUGCGUAGGCUGCGCGGUAAGUUGGGUGUGAAAGCCCUCGGCUCAACCGAGGAACUGCGCUCAAAACUACCGUGCUGGAGGGAGACAGAGGUGAGCGGAACUCAGGGUGGAGCGGUGAAAUGCGUUGAUAUCCUGAGGAACACCGGUGGCGAAGGCGGCUCACUGGGUCUCUUCUGACGCUGAGGCACGAAAGCCAAGGUAGCAAACGGG
RNAcentral lists this ribosomal RNA (252 nucleotides) under uncultured bacterium. RNAcentral's name for it is "partial 16S ribosomal RNA". It matches the Rfam family "Bacterial small subunit ribosomal RNA", at positions 525 to 776 of the family's 1533-position model. The record is from RNAcentral.